RNAcentral lists this ribosomal RNA (468 nucleotides) under uncultured bacterium. Its description in RNAcentral is "partial 16S ribosomal RNA". It matches the Rfam family "Bacterial small subunit ribosomal RNA", at positions 28 to 507 of the family's 1533-position model. The record is from RNAcentral.
GACGAACGCUGGCGGCGUGCUUAACAUAUGCAAGUCGAACGGAAAGGCCCUGCUUUUGUGGGGUGCUCGAGUGGCGAACGGGCGAGUAACACGUGAGUAACCUGCCCUUGACUUUGGGAUAACUUCAGGAAACUGGGGCUAAUACCGGAUAGGAGCUCCUGCUGCAUGGUGGGGGUUGGAAAGUUUCGGCGGUUGGGGAUGGACUCGCGGCUUAUCAGCUUGUUGGUGGGGUAGUGGCUUACCAAGGCUUUGACGGGUAGCCGGCCUGAGAGGGUGACCGGCCACAUUGGGACUGAGAUACGGCCCAGACUCCUACGGGAGGCAGCAGUGGGGAAUAUUGCACAAUGGGCGGAAGCCUGAUGCAGCAACGCCGCGUGCGGGAUGACGGCCUUCGGGUUGUAAACCGCUUUCGCCUGUGACGAAGCGUGAGUGACGGUAAUGGGUAAAGAAGCACCGGCUAACUACGUG